Molecule: ribosomal RNA, 410 nt
Filed under: uncultured bacterium
Lineage: Bacteria
Description: bacterial SSU rRNA
Rfam family: Bacterial small subunit ribosomal RNA
Source: RNAcentral
CGGAUUGGCAUGGGCGAAAGCCUGAUCAGCAAUGCCGCGUGUGUGAAGAAGGCCUUCGGGUUGUAAAGCACUUUUGUCCGGAAAGAAAUCCUUUGGGUUAAUACCUCGGGGGGAUGACGGUACCGGAAGAAUAAGCACCGGCUAACUACGUGCCAGCAGCCGCGGUAAUACGUAGGGUGCAAGCGUUAAUCGGAAUUACUGGGCGUAAAGCGUGCGCAGGCGGUUUUGUAAGACGGAUGUGAAAUCCCCGGGCUUAACCUGGGAACUGCAUUCGUGACUGCAAGGCUAGAGUAUGGCAGAGGGGGGUAGAAUUCCACGUGUAGCAGUGAAAUGCGUAGAGAUGUGGAGGAAUACCGAUGGCGAAGGCAGCCCCCUGGGCCAAUACUGACGCUCAUGCACGAAAGCGUGGG